ACCUGGCUGACUCAGUUGGUAGAGCAUGUGACUCUAGAUCUCAGGGCUGUAAGUUCGAGCCCUAUGCUGGGUG
Molecule: transfer RNA, 73 nt
Filed under: Mustela putorius furo (domestic ferret)
Lineage: Eukaryota; Metazoa; Chordata; Mammalia; Carnivora; Mustelidae
Rfam family: tRNA
About the family: Transfer RNA (tRNA) molecules are approximately 80 nucleotides in length.
Source: Rfam by way of RNAcentral